AUAGCUUUACAUAAUGUUUCUCUUUUUAUUGUAUUCUGUAAGUGCAUCCUGUGAUUUAAUAUAGUUACAGCGUCAGGUUUAUUUAUUUAGAGUAAAUGUGUAUGACACAUAAAACAUUUAUUACAAACACAGUCUAAUUGCAGAUUUACAUCACAUUCACAUUCAUAAAAAUUUUAUCUGAAAAUUAGAUUUAUUUAUUUUUUAUUGAAAGAAACCGUAUUUCGUCCAUGUGGUGUUUCAUUUCGGAAAUAAU
Non-coding RNA from Pelobates cultripes (western spadefoot toad), 253 nucleotides. NCBI's taxonomy places the organism in Eukaryota, Metazoa, Chordata, Amphibia, Anura, Pelobatidae. The record is from the annotation of a GenBank genome assembly.